UAAAAAUCAAUGACGAGAAGAGUAAGAUAAGAUCCCUGUUCUACAGAGAGUCGGUAUUUGGUGAAAGCCGGCGUCCAGGUCUUGUCCGAAGGUCAUCUCUGAGAUUCAAAGCUGAAAUUCAGUAAGCUUUGACGGAUUGUCCGCCGUUAUGAUGGACCACGUAUAAUUUUACGUUGACUGAGAGCUGCAGGUUAGUUUUGAAAGCUGCGGAAUUAGGGUGGUAACGCGAGCGCAAACUCGUCCCUACA
This 248-nucleotide non-coding RNA is filed under the name Bacillus methanolicus. Its description in RNAcentral is "T-box sequence". It matches the Rfam family "T-box leader". From Rfam's summary of the family: Uncharged tRNA acts as the effector for transcription antitermination of genes in the T-box leader family. T-boxes are found upstream of many aminoacyl-tRNA synthetase genes and some amino acid biosynthetic genes usually in Gram-positive bacteria. Lineage: Bacteria; Bacillati; Bacillota; Bacilli; Caryophanales; Bacillaceae. The record is from RNAcentral.